This 605-nucleotide ribosomal RNA is filed under the name uncultured bacterium. Its description in RNAcentral is "bacterial SSU rRNA". It matches the Rfam family "Bacterial small subunit ribosomal RNA", at positions 28 to 665 of the family's 1533-position model. The record is from RNAcentral.
AAUCAACGCUGGCGGCGCGCUUAACACAUGCAAGUCGAACGAGAAAGCACCUUCGGGUGUGAGUAAAGUGGCGUACGGGUGAGUAACACGUGGAUUAUCUACCUUUUAGUGGGGGAUAACCCUGGGAAACCGGGGCUAAUACCGCAUAAUCUCGCAAGAGGAAAGCAGCAAUGCGCUGAAAGAGGAGUUCGCGGCUGAUUAGCUAGAUGGUGGGGUAAUGGCUCACCAUGGCGAAGAUCGGUAGCCGGCCUGAGAGGGCACACGGCCACACUGGCACUGAAACACGGGCCAGACUCCUACGGGAGGCAGCAGUGGGGAAUCUUGCACAAUGGGGGAAACCCUGAUGCAGCGACGCCGCGUGAGCGAUGACGCCUUUCGGGGUGUAAAGCUCUUUCGACGGGAACGAUAAUGACGGUACCCGAAGAAGAAGCUGCGGCUAACUACGUGCCAGCAGCCGCGGUAAUACGUAGGCAGCAAGCGUUGUUCGGAUUUACUGGGCGUAAAGAGUGCGUAGGCGGUGCUCCAAGUUUGGCGUGAAAUCUCCCGGCUUAACCGGGAGGGUGCGUCGAAAACUGGAAUGCUUGAGGGUGAGAGUAGCCUUUGCC